RNAcentral lists this ribosomal RNA (192 nucleotides) under uncultured Bacillus sp. RNAcentral's name for it is "partial 16S ribosomal RNA". It matches the Rfam family "Bacterial small subunit ribosomal RNA", at positions 340 to 524 of the family's 1533-position model. The record is from RNAcentral. Lineage: Bacteria; Bacillati; Bacillota; Bacilli; Caryophanales; Bacillaceae.
UACGGGAGGCAGCAGUAGGGAAUCUUCCGCAAUGGACGAAAGUCUGACGGAGCAACGCCGCGUGAGCGAAGAAGGUCUUCGGAUCGUAAAGCUCUGUUGUCGGGGAAGAACAAGUACGGUAGGAAAUGGCCGUACCUUGACGGUACCCGACGAGAAAGCCACGGCUAACUACGUGCCAGCGACCGCGGUAAU